Molecule: ribosomal RNA, 246 nt
Filed under: uncultured bacterium
Lineage: Bacteria
Description: partial 16S ribosomal RNA
Rfam family: Bacterial small subunit ribosomal RNA
Source: RNAcentral
GAUCCUGGCUCAGGACGAACGCUGGCGGCGCGCCUAACACAUGCAAGUCGAACGGAGCUGAGAGGAGCUUGCUUUUCUUAGCUUAGUGGCGAACGGGUGAGUAACGCGUGAGUAACCUGCCCUGGAGUGGGGGACAACAGUUGGAAACGACUGCUAAUACCGCAUAAGCCCACGGUACCGCAUGGUACUGAGGGAAAAGGAUUUAUUCGCUUCAGGAUGGACUCGCGUCCAAUUAGCUAGUUGGUG